UGCGUAGGCGGGUCUUUAAGUCAGGGGUGAAAUCCUGGAGCUCAACUCCAGAACUGCCUUUGAUACUGAGGAUCUUGAGUUCGGGAGAGGUGAGUGGAACUGCGAGUGUAGAGGUGAAAUUCGUAGAUAUUCGCAAGAACGCCAGUGGCGAAGGCGGCUCACUGGCCCGAUACUGACGCUGAGGUGCGAAAGCGUGGGAGCAAACA
RNAcentral lists this ribosomal RNA (206 nucleotides) under uncultured bacterium. RNAcentral describes it as "partial 16S ribosomal RNA". It matches the Rfam family "Bacterial small subunit ribosomal RNA", at positions 568 to 774 of the family's 1533-position model. The record is from RNAcentral.